CCUGGUGGAACAACCACAACAUCAGACACCAUGCCACCAAUACCUGGAGGAACAACCACAACAUCAGACACCAUGCCACCAAUACCUGGAGGAACAACCACAACAUCAGACACCAUUUCAACAAUACUGUACAUACAAAGACAUGGGACUGCAACACACUACCAUUAUAUCUCUUACAGCGGUGUCACGUUAAGCAGGCAGCAACGGACUGAAUGCAGAUAGAAAGGCAACGAAUAGAGCAGAAGUGAUUUGUUAUUCUAUGAGGGGGGAGAAACUGAAUUGGUUUGUAGUGUAGAUUAUGUGUGGUGUGUAUUGUGUGUAGGUAGUGUGUUGUGUGUGUAUUGUAUGUAGGUAGCGUGUUACAGGCAAGGCUAUAUGUCUGUGUGAUUUAGUGUCCAUGGUAACCCAGAAUAGACAGAUCACCUUCAUCUUUCUUCUCCUCCUUAGCUCCUCCUCCGAUCAUCUCUCCCACCUUCUCCUUCACCACAACAGCUAGACAGAGGGAGAGAGGGGGGCUGUCAAACAUGCACUCGCACCUUCUGGCUCCACAUGAUGAGAUAAUUGGUGGAUUUUUCUCUUGUUAUGUCUUGUUAGGGAGCUUGUAUCAGCAAGAACUGUCAUGACGGGAUGCCACAGAAUCUUUGUAUAUUUUUCCAUUUCUAGUAGAAAUUAGCUCCUCUACUUUGAAAUCUAGACAAACCCAAAUAACUAAUUUUAGAAGUAUGAGCAGUGCCAAAAAGUACAGAGCCAAGUUUUUCAAAAAUGAAAAUAUUUGGUGUAAGAAUGUUGUUGACUCAUCAACUGCAGCGCCGUUUAAAAUUCCAAAGCCCAGUUUGAACAUUUUGAAGGCUGAUAACACAAAAAUGAACACUAAAUUAAAGCUAAACUAUACAUUAGUCUAUAUAACAACCCAUUUUGCUGUGCUUUAGGGUUUAAACUUAUCAAUGCUUCACAUGAAUGACCCCCAUCAUUCAACCAAGUAAACACACCAUUAUCCACUUUUCUUACACAUAUCUUUUUCUCACCUGCUUUGUCGAUCACUGCAUCCACCUGCUUCCCAGAUCCUUUCAGAAAGUCCAUCUCUGUGUGUGUUCUGUACUCGGCCGGAGUGUGUGUGUGAGAGAGUGUGUUUGGAUGGGUGUGUGGUGUGGGUGUGCAUGGGUUUAUAUGAGGUUGGCAGAGAGGCUUACAGAGGCCACCCCUCCAUCACACACCCCUGUGAAGUCACACACACCCCUAAGGAUGCAGGCCGCUUUUAUUGUUGGUGUCAGUAUGGAAAAACCCAGCAGUGGAACUGUAAAUACCGAAGAGGGAGAGAGGCUUCAUAACUUUAUUACGACCCUCAAUUAAACAUUGUUAGAACAAAUAUGAUAUACAGAUACAUGCAACACAUAGGCACACAACCCUUAUUCAGGUCAUAAUUAUCCAUUAUGUGAAGAUGCACAUAAUAUAGUACAUUAUUACAGAUGUAGGAUCUUAAUUUGAUCGCCCUGUUGCAGGAGAACUUUGCUGCAAUGCAGGGCAUUUUUUACCUGUAGUGUACUUGAGGUUUGAAAACGCUUCUGAAGUUUGUAAUUUCCACUUAGAAAUUUCAGUCUUGAUUUCCCCAUUGUCGUUAAUUAUAAUAAUCCACAUAAUAAUUCACCUUUCUUUUGGACUUUGUAGCAUUCCCAGAAAGCAUGGAUUAGUGAGUCAAUGCUAUAAAGUCCAAAAGUUAUGGGUGGAGCUAGAAAGUUCGCUGUCAGAUGUAUUACAAUGUAAACGUACUUUUAAUCCGUCUGCCUGCAUAUUUUAAGACAUAGCGAAUAGGAGUGUAGUGAGAUUCCCAACGGGCUGGACGAUUCUCUUCUCAUCACUCAUCUAGAAAAAAAACGUAUACUAAUGACCUGGAUAUCAAUCAAUCCUCCAUCAUUAACACAAUAGAAAAAAUCGAAUGAUUUAUUAUUGAAAUAGCAUGGGCAACUGAGAAAAACUAAUUGGGACAAUUUAAGGCCAUAUGGCAAACAAUAAUGCAAGCAGUAGGGAUGGGGGUGUGAGCAUGUGGGUCUGGGCAGAUGAGAUGUAAUCGUUGUUCGUGUGCAUCUGUAAGUUGUUGUUCGUGUGUUUAUGUUUUUAACUGGUUAAUAACAUUUUUUAUAAAAAACAGUAUAGUAAAGUAUAAAAAAUUAUUAUAAUAAUUAUUAUAAUAAUUCACAUUUCCUGUUGCUUCAGGAUUAUUUUCAUGUUGUAGCAAACUGGCUCAAAUUAAGAUCCUACAUCUGUAGAUGUAUGGGAAACAGGAAAUACUGGAUGUGAUGUCCUGAAAGGUCACCAAGCUUUCUGACUCACUGUCAAAACACUGCUAUAAAAGCAGACACAAAGACACAACAUUUGACAUAGCACGCACUCCUUCUUAUGACAGCCCUCUCUCAUUGUGUUGUUGGCCCUAGAUUGCUGCUCUGUGUUUGUGUGGAUUCCUUAGGAGUGUUGGCUGUGUGUGUGUGUCUCCAUUCAACCCUUGGAAAGACACUCCUCUGUUUCAAUGUGUUCUGGCAUUGGAUCAGAGAGUGUGUGUAGAGCAGUUUGGAAAUCUCGUGGUUAGAAUGGAACAUUGGGCUGGUGAUAUGUCGUCCCGAAGGAUCAUUUAAAACACUAAGACUGGGAGUUCUAGAACACUGACGCAAGAGGUUCUAGGUUGACUUUUUGUUUUCUUCCUGACCUCUCUUGAACCCUUUCACAAGUAUCGUCAUUGUGUUGAAGGGAGGACCAAUACGCAGCGGGAAUGUGGAUACUCAUCUUUUUAAUCAAACACGAGAAAAGCAUCCACAGGGAAAAAACAAUAAACAUUACUCACGACGGCAACAGUGUAGCAGGCUAUACAAACGCAGUGCUCACAAACAAUUACCCACAAACACACAGACAAACACACCCUACUAAUAUAGGACUCCCAAUCAAAGGCAACUCAACACACCUGCCUUCAAUUGGGAGUCCCACCCCAAUUAACUAUACAUAGAAAACCAAAGCUAGACAGAACGUAGACACACAUACCAAAACACAAAAACCUCUGCCACGCCCUGACCAAAACUAAUACAAUUACUCCCUCUGCUGGUCAGGACGUGACAACCCCUCUGUCUCCCUGUAAGCUCCCAGCAUGCCGAUGGAGGUAGUGUCCUCAUAGUGUACCUGUAGAGGAGAACAAAGAGCCUGGCUAAACCCCUGUGAGUGCACACGCACGCACGCACGCUCGCACACACAGAAAACAUUGCUAAGACUGGCAGAGGGCAUAGAAAAAUAUCCAGGAUGGUACCACAAUAUCUCCAUGGUAACAUAGGCCAUACAUACUAUUAUAAACUGCAUAAUAAUUAGUCACUCAAAUGGAGAAAUGAAGACGACACGGAAGUUUGGAUUUCAACAAAACCGUCUUUAAUUCACUGGUACUGUUUAUAAAAUCAGCAAGUUCGCUUCGAUGCCAACUUAAACGUGGUGUGGGAGUGUUUAUGUUGUUGUUUGUGUGCUUUAUGAGUGUGUGUGUGUGUGUGUGUGUGUGUGUGUAUGAUGUCUCUGUGGUCCUGUCAUCCUGAAUAGUCAUCACAGCUGUCUGCUGGCUGGAGUUUCCUUUUGGAUUUCAACGUAUUACGGAUGAACGUCUAUUUUUGCCGCAUUAAUUCCGCGGCUUGCUGGAACAUUGUGAUUUGUGGUGGCGUAGUGAUCUGAACCGCACGCUCUGAGCAUCACAAGGUCACGCCCAGAUCUGGUCAAUCCUUCUUCUUCUCUUUCGAUGAGCACCAACGAAGGCAUAUAUCCACACACCUGGAUCACACACACCUGGAUCACACACACCUGGAUCACACACACCUGGAUCACACACACCUGGAUCACACACACCUGGAUCCUUUCACACGUCUGUUUCUCCUGAUCCGGCUGCCAACAUCUGCCGUGUGUGUGUGUGUGUGUGUGUGUGUGUGUGUGUGUGUGUGUGUGUGUGUGUGUGUGUGUGUGUGUGUGUGUGUGUGUGUGUGUGUGUGUGUGUGUGUGUGUGUGUAUGUGUGUGUGUGUGUGUGUGUGUAUGUGUGUGUGUGUGUGUGUGUGUGUGUGUGUGUGUGUGUGUGUGUGUGUGUGUGUGUGUGUGUGUGUGUGUGUGGUGUGCGCAGGUCUCUUGAUAGGGUAUUGGGAGGUGUGAGGGAGAAUAUAACACCAGGGGUAACAACAUGACAGCAACGACACAAAGGCGGGGAGCUACACGGGGCAGAACACAGUGGGGGGGGGGGCAGAAGAGGGUCUCAUGGGGUAUCAGGAGGUGUAUAGGGUUAUCUGGAAGAGUCUGUAUCUGUUUUGGUUCCAUAAAGUCACAAAAAAUAAGUAGAACAUCUGGAAGUCUGGAACAGCAGGGCGAAGGGAGCGAGGGACCAACAGAGGGCUGGGGAGAAGAGGUCCCUGGAAUGACUAAUAGCCACCCUGAGAGCCCUGUGAGUCAGAGAGAGAGAGAUGGGGGGAGGGAGAGAGAGAGGGGG
Molecule: long non-coding RNA, 4490 nt
Filed under: Salmo salar (Atlantic salmon)
Lineage: Eukaryota; Metazoa; Chordata; Actinopteri; Salmoniformes; Salmonidae
Description: lncRNA (ENSSSAG00000099912.1)
Source: RNAcentral